RNAcentral lists this ribosomal RNA (253 nucleotides) under uncultured bacterium. RNAcentral describes it as "partial 16S ribosomal RNA". It matches the Rfam family "Bacterial small subunit ribosomal RNA", at positions 524 to 776 of the family's 1533-position model. The record is from RNAcentral.
UACGUAGGGUGCGAGCGUUAAUCGGAAUUACUGGGCGUAAAGCGUGCGCAGGCGGUUCGCUGUGUCCGGUGUGAAAUCCCCGGGCUUAACCUGGGAAUGGCAUUUGGGACUGCAAGGCUCGAGUGCGGCAGAGGAGACUGGAAUUCCUGGUGUAGCAGUGAAAUGCGUAGAUAUCAGGAGGAACACCGAUGGCGAAGGCAGGUCUCUGGGCUGACACUGACGCUCAUGCACGAAAGCGUGGGGAGCAAACAGG